Molecule: long non-coding RNA, 218 nt
Filed under: Elaeis guineensis (African oil palm)
Lineage: Eukaryota; Viridiplantae; Streptophyta; Magnoliopsida; Arecales; Arecaceae
Description: long non-coding RNA (EGUI_LNC014615)
Source: RNAcentral
ACCACAUUAUCAAACACAAAGAAAUUGGAAGCAUGAAAAAUGUAAGAAAUCCACUAUUAUCAAGCAUAAAUAUAAGAAAUUUCAAAAUCUACUUCUUGAAAUCAGCAAAUUUAUUGAGGAAACCAUACCAAUGAACUGACAGUUGGUGAGGAUUCUGGCUACUUCAAAUAUCUCGACAAUCUCGAAGAUGAAAUUGGAUAACCACCUUCAAUUAGGAC